AAAAACAUUGUUGUCUUCUACUGUUUUAAUUUUAUGACACUUAUACCCCUAAAUUAA
This 57-nucleotide small RNA is filed under the name Arabidopsis thaliana (thale cress). RNAcentral's name for it is "ATSL194140". Lineage: Eukaryota; Viridiplantae; Streptophyta; Magnoliopsida; Brassicales; Brassicaceae. The record is from RNAcentral.